UAACUUUCUCCGGCUUUCUAGGACGUGUUUUAUGCCACUUCUUUUUCUCUCUCAUUUUGUCCACCCAACUGUUAACGUGGUGCGUGAAGGCACAAAGGUUGCGGUGUUACGGCUCAGACCCCUGCCAUCUGCGCGCACCUUGGGACACGCCCACGGCUGCGCAAAUCCAGGGACGCGCCGUGCGCGUCUCCGCCCUGCAGCAGCCACCAGCUGCAAACACUCACCGGCUAUCGGCACACCUGAGACUGAUGAGGGCGUGCCGGAUAAAGGCAGGGUGGGCCCAAGGAUCGGCGCGGGAACUUAGUUUUCUCAUGGUGUUCAUACCCUCCGUCGCCUGGACUGUAAGCUGUGCGUCUCACUAUUCCCUGGUUCUUCCCCUGUGUUUUGGACUGGCUUCCUCCUUUCCCGACUCCUCGCUCGCCCCCCGGACUCUGACGUCUCUCUCUGCCCCACGGACCCCUCGCGCAUCUUGGACCCCUUUUGCCUUGCCCAAUUUGGACUUGUCUACUUCCUCAUCCAACAUCACGGUAAUACACAACAGCUAACUACACACAUAGUCUUACAUCACACACUCUGGUAUUUU
Entelurus aequoreus (snake pipefish) is the source of this 583-nucleotide long non-coding RNA. RefSeq lists it as uncharacterized. Lineage: Eukaryota; Metazoa; Chordata; Actinopteri; Syngnathiformes; Syngnathidae. The record is from RefSeq and is a predicted model, not a curated record. The transcript is spliced from 3 exons.